This 252-nucleotide ribosomal RNA is filed under the name uncultured bacterium. RNAcentral's name for it is "partial 16S ribosomal RNA". It matches the Rfam family "Bacterial small subunit ribosomal RNA", at positions 524 to 776 of the family's 1533-position model. The record is from RNAcentral.
UACGGAGGAUGCGAGCGUUAUCCGGAUUUAUUGGGUUUAAAGGGUGCGUAGGCGGGAUGCCAAGUCAGCGGUAAAAAUGCGGUGCUCAACGCCGUCGAGCCGUUGAAACUGGCGUUCUUGAGUGGGCGAGAAGUAUGCGGAAUGCGUGGUGUAGCGGUGAAAUGCAUAGAUAUCACGCAGAACUCCGAUUGCGAAGGCAGCAUACCGGCGCCCUACUGACGCUGAGGCACGAAAGCGUGGGUAUCGGACAGG